UAGCAAGCUCAAUAAAUAGCUGGUAACCAUACUCGAACUCUUAAAAGAAGUUCACCCCAUCCCCCAAGACUCCCUAUCACUUCCCAAUCCCUCCAUAACCCUCGUACUGGACUUAGCUGUUAGCCUGACCUCAGCGAGGAGGAGCACCCCAGUGCCCUCCAGGAGAUAUCCAGCGACCCAAAUUACACUUUGGGUGUUAUUUGCGCCGCUGUCCUCUGCCCAGCGGGAAGAGCCGCGUUCAGCGGGAAGCCUCCGGCGACGCCUUAGGCCUGUUUGUCCUCGGACAUUUACGCCGCCGUGGACGCGUGUCAGGAAAGGCGAGUGACCGGCUGCGGGGGGACCACCGCAUCCCUCUGCCCGCCCUUGGGAGCCUCUCCCCGCCACCGGCCUCGCCGAGGCGAGGGCAGCUCUGCGACCAGCAGGGAAACGCCCCGAGGAAGCGGCCCCCUUCGUCGUCUUUUAUCUGGGAAGACCUGUGAGGCGUCCCCGGGCAGGGUUCUGGGCUCGAGGCACAGACCGGAGAGUCUGGGGCGGGCUCUCCUCAGCAGGCGCAUCGCGCCGCUCCCCCCUCUCCCCCCCCUCCUCCUCCUCCUCCUCCAGCACCACCCUACCACUUGUACUUCUUUAUUCCCAGCCCCCUCGACCCGUGGGGGAUCCCUGGGGACGCGGCGUGACGGCUGCCUGCGGGCCCCGCCACGGUACCCACCACCCCGCCUCAGCCCCGGCCGCGGGCGGCUGCAGCGCAGGCUGCCGAGGGGAGGGGAGGGGGCAGGAGCCGAGGCCGGGCAGAGGGCGGGCCCGGCUGUGGCAGGGGCGGGGGGCGGGGGCCGGGGCCGGGGCUCCCCGGCAGGGAGCGGCCGGCAGCAGCCGAACCCCCUGCCCGAGGCAGGCGCGGCGGCCACGUCAGCCCCGGAGCCGCCCCGCCCGCCUCCGGCCCAGAGCCGGAUCCCGCCGCGGGCCGCCCUUCCGCCCGGCGCCGGGGUGAAGGCGCCGCCGUCCCAUGCUGCCCCGCGCCCGGCCCGCUCCCUCCGCCGGCUCUCCGCCGCUCUCAGCCGCCGGCCGGCUCCGCUGCCCUCCCUGCAGCCCGGUAAGCGCCGCGCCGCUUCCCCGGCGCUCGGCUGGUACCGAGGCCGCGCCAGCGGGGAGAGGAGAGGAAGGGAGGGGAGGGGAGGGGACCGUGAGGCAACCACGCCCCGGCGGCGGCGGCAGUCGCUCGCCGCACGCCCCUUCUCCCGCCGCAGCCCGGCCGCCCCCGGCCUGGCGGGGCUGUUACCUCCGGCCUCGCACCUCCGCGUCCCGCCGGCCCCCUUCGCCGCCGCCGCGGCGGCUCCCAUCGCCGGUCCCCGGGCCGAUAGCGGGCGGCCCGCCGGCUCUGCCCGGCUUUAUCUGCGAGGGGCGUCCGCCGCCUCCUUGGCGGGCAGCCCUCCGCCCCGCAGCGGCGGCUGGCCCAAAGCUACCGGGUCCUUUCGGAAGACAUGUCCCCCCGCGAGACUAAAAGUUGUAACUUUUGCAAGACUUGUGACAUGA
RNAcentral lists this long non-coding RNA (1527 nucleotides) under Accipiter nisus (Eurasian sparrowhawk). RNAcentral's name for it is "lncRNA (ENSANIG00000003320.1)". Lineage: Eukaryota; Metazoa; Chordata; Aves; Accipitriformes; Accipitridae. The record is from RNAcentral.